Molecule: transfer RNA, 72 nt
Filed under: Streptomyces phage JPandJE
Lineage: Duplodnaviria; Heunggongvirae; Uroviricota; Caudoviricetes
Description: tRNA-Phe
Rfam family: tRNA
About the family: Transfer RNA (tRNA) molecules are approximately 80 nucleotides in length. Their secondary structure includes four short double-helical elements and three loops (D, anti-codon, and T loops). Further hydrogen bonds mediate the characteristic L-shaped molecular structure. tRNAs have two regions of fundamental functional importance: the anti-codon, which is responsible for specific mRNA codon recognition, and the 3' end, to which the tRNAs corresponding amino acid is attached (by aminoacyl-tRNA synthetases). tRNAs cope with the degeneracy of the genetic code in two manners: having more than one tRNA (with a specific anti-codon) for a particular amino acid; and 'wobble' base-pairing, i.e. permitting non-standard base-pairing at the 3rd anti-codon position.
Source: RNAcentral
ACCUUACUAGCUCAUUGGCAGAGCACCGGCUUGAAAACCCGGGGGACGUGGUUCGAUUCCACGGUUUGGUAC